This 364-nucleotide ribosomal RNA is filed under the name uncultured bacterium. RNAcentral's name for it is "bacterial SSU rRNA". It matches the Rfam family "Bacterial small subunit ribosomal RNA", at positions 355 to 736 of the family's 1533-position model. The record is from RNAcentral.
UAGGGAAUUUUCGGCAAUGGGGGAAACCCUGACCGAGCGACGCCGCGUGAGGGAUAAAGGCCUUCGGGUUGUAAACCUCUGUCUUCGGGGACGAUGAUGACGGUACCCGAGGAGGAAGCCACGGCUAACUACGUGCCAGCAGCCGCGGUAAGACGUAGGUGGCGAGCGUUGUCCGGAAUUAUUGGGCGUAAAGGGCGUGUAGGCGGCCUGUCAAGUCAGACGCGAAAUCCCUGGGCUUAACCUUGGGACUGCGUUUGAUACUGAUGGGCUUGAGGACAGGAGAGGACAGUGGAACUCCGUGUGUAGAGGUGAAAUGCUCAGAUAUACGGAAGAACACCAGUGGCGAAGGCGACUUUCUGGACGG